GCAGAAGUGGCUCAGUGGUAGAGCAUCGCCUUGCCAAGGCGAGGGUCGCGGGUUCAAAUCCCGUCUUCUGCUCCA
This 75-nucleotide transfer RNA is filed under the name Bacillota bacterium. RNAcentral describes it as "tRNA-Gly". It matches the Rfam family "tRNA". From Rfam's summary of the family: Transfer RNA (tRNA) molecules are approximately 80 nucleotides in length. Their secondary structure includes four short double-helical elements and three loops (D, anti-codon, and T loops). Lineage: Bacteria; Bacillati; Bacillota. RNAcentral also lists the same sequence under 2 other names. The record is from RNAcentral.